GACGAACGCUGGCGGCGUGCUUAACACAUGCAAGUCGAGCGGUAAGGCCCUUUCGGGGGUACACGAGCGGCGAACGGGUGAGUAACACGUGGGUGACCUGCCUUUAGCUCUGGGAUAAGCCUGGGAAACUGGGUCUAAUACCGGAUAUGACUCCAUGACGCAUGUUGUGGGGUGGAAAGCCUUGUGCGGCUAGGGAUGGGCCCGCGGCCUAUCAGCUUGUUGGUGGGGUGAUGGCCACCAAGGCGACGACGGGUAGCCGGCCUGAGAGGGCGACCGGCCACACUGGGACUGAGACACGGCCCAGACUCCUACGGGAGGCAGCAGUGGGGAAUCUUGCGCAAUGGGCGAAAGCCUGACGCAGCGACGCCGCGUGUGGGAUGACGGUCUUCGGAUUAGUAAACCACUGUCGGGAGGGACGGAAUACGCCGCAAGGCGGGUGACGGUA
This 445-nucleotide ribosomal RNA is filed under the name uncultured bacterium. RNAcentral describes it as "bacterial SSU rRNA". It matches the Rfam family "Bacterial small subunit ribosomal RNA", at positions 28 to 477 of the family's 1533-position model. The record is from RNAcentral.